This 465-nucleotide ribosomal RNA is filed under the name uncultured bacterium. RNAcentral describes it as "partial 16S ribosomal RNA". It matches the Rfam family "Bacterial small subunit ribosomal RNA", at positions 28 to 507 of the family's 1533-position model. The record is from RNAcentral.
GACGAACGCUGGCGGCGUGCUUAACACAUGCAAGUCGAACGGAAAGGCCCUGCUUGCAGGGUACUCGAGUGGCGAACGGGUGAGUAACACGUGGGUGAUCUGCCCUGCACUUCGGGAUAAGCCUGGGAAACUGGGUCUAAUACCGGAUAGGAGCCAUUUUUAGUGUGAUGGUUGGAAAGUUUUUUCGGUGUAGGAUGAGCUCGCGGCCUAUCAGCUUGUUGGUGGGGUAAUGGCCUACCAAGGCGGCGACGGGUAGCCGGCCUGAGGGGGUGGAUGGCCACAUUGGGACUGAGAUACGGCCCAGACUCCUACGGGAGGCAGCAGUGGGGAAUAUUGCACAAUGGGCGCAAGCCUGAUGCAGCGACGCCGCGUGGGGGAUGACGGCCUUCGGGUUGUAAACUCCUUUCGCUAGGGACGAAGCUUUUUGUGACGGUACCUAGAUAAGAAGCACCGGCUAACUACGUG